UGGGGGUUAUUGCACAAUGGGCGAAAGCCUGAUGCAGCGACGCCGCGUGGGGGAUGAAGGCUUUCGGGUUGUAAACCUCUUUCGCUAUCGAACAAGGCCCGCUUAGGGUGGGUUGAGGGUAGGUGGAGAAGAAGCGCCGGCUAACUACGUGCCAGCAGCCGCGGUAAUACGUAGGGCGCGAGCGUUGUCCGGAAUUAUUGGGCGUAAAGGGCUUGUAGGCGGCUUGUUGCGCCUGCUGUGAAAACGCGGGGCUUAACUUCGCGCGUGCAGUGGGUACGGGCAGGCUUGAGUGUGGUAGGGGUGACUGGAAUUCCAGGUGUAGCGGUGGAAUGCGCAGAUAUCUGGAGGAACACCGAUGGCGAAGGCAGGUCACUGGGCCAUUACUGACGCUGAGGAGCGAAAGCAUGGGUAGCGAACAGG
Molecule: ribosomal RNA, 420 nt
Filed under: bacterium
Lineage: Bacteria
Description: partial 16S ribosomal RNA
Rfam family: Bacterial small subunit ribosomal RNA
Source: RNAcentral